GAUUGGCCCGGUGGUCAUUAUUAAGUAAACCAUCGGCGGGGUGGCGCGGUACGGUUGUCGUAGCGGGCACAACACCGCAGCACGCGGCGGGCCCGCGCACCGCUCGCGGCUCGCCGCCGCACGCCAUGGCUGACAUGCCGGACCUUUCGCACCUCACGCCCGAGGAGCGCGCCAUCAUCGAGGGAGUCAUAAUGCGCCAAAAGCAGGAGGAGCAGCGCGAACACGAAAUUAUGAGACGUAAACAAGACGAAGUCGCAGUGCUAGAGCAAACAAUUCGUACAAGAAACGAACUUCAAAGAGCAGCGGGUGUGGAACUUGCUGCCACCUGCCAUAUUUGUUUGAAGACAAAAUUCGCGGACGGCGUUGGACAUUCUUGCCACUAUUGCCGAGUGAGAUGCUGCGCUCGCUGUGGUGGCAAAGUCACUUUACGAUCUAAUAAGGUUAUUUGGGUUUGUAUCCUUUGCCGAAAAAAACAAGAACUAUUAUCAAAAACUGGACAAUGGAUACACAAAAGCACAGGCCCAGAUUCUAUGUUAUGGAGGAUGGAGUCUGAGUUGCGAGGCCUGCUGCCCCAAGACGAUGCUUCGCAUGAUAAAAGACCCAAACUCGAGCGAGCGCAUAGUGCAGCCGAAAAAGAAAACCAGCCACUUCAGAGAUCAGGAAGUGCCCUACGACGUCAGUAUAGUCAACAAGAACAAAGGUGCUACGGAGAACUGGAGGGAUUGGCGAGAACGCACCCUCACCUGGUACAUUCAAGACAAAAAGCCGCCUAUGGUGUAGUUGACACUAUGAUCUCGGCGCCUCUACCCGCGCAACUGUUACCACACGGCCCUGCUGGUCACAGCAUGCCCUUACCGCCUCGUUCCUCCUCAUCGGACGACGAAGUACCGGAGUGUAUCUCCGAUGAAAACGACGAGUAUCGUGAUCGUGGGAAACUAGAAGCGUGUGCUUCUCACCGGCACCCGCAUCUGCGAAGUGCCAACGUAGCUGCCAUCAAUUAUUACAAUUUGACUAAUCACUCGUCAGCUGGCUAUGAGAACGAGAGCCGCGGGCAGUUCGAACACAGAACUGUGCCAGCCGGUGGACGCAGUUUCGAUUCCGUGACCGAUUGUCGAUGGCGGGCACGUGACGAAAGCGAAGGUGCAUAUUUACGUCCGUAUAUACCAGACGAGGGCCCGCGCCCCGAACGCGCCGUAUAUAAGAGUGCGUACUUGUGGGAAGACUCCUCGGACAAUAGACGUUUUACUGAAAGGAGAAAAAAAACUGUCCGUUUCGAUGGUCACGAAGGCGCAGCGACAUUUCCGAGGGGAGGCCGUGAUGCGUCGGGCGCUCCAAGCGAUUGGGCCUCCCUUCGCUGGGAGUCAGAGCGGCAGACAAGCCAAGAUUCUGCAACAAAAGAUUCAGGCAUCGAUACCUCUAGCACAUUCACAUCCAGUGAAGAUUCAAACAGAGGCGAUUGCCCUAAGUUUCCGCCGAGUUGGCAAGCGUCAACGGAUGGUUCGCGCGUGAUCGGUCACAUGGUGCUACGCAAAAGCGUUGUGGAGGGUAGUUCGCACUCUUCUGCAGCAAUCCUGGGCUUAAAGGUCGUAGGUGGAAAAUUGCUACCCGAUGGCAUACGUGGUGCUAUAAUAGAAAAAGUUAAGAAAGGAUCAAUAGCCGAUUUGGAAGGGCAGCUAAGAAUCGGAGACGAAGUUUUACAAUGGAAUGGUGUGCCUCUUCAAGGUCGAUCGGCCGAAGAGGUCGCAGCAGUUGUUGCUGACAGCAAGCACGACACUCAUGUCGAAUUAGUGGUAUCACGUUCUCUUCCGGUCACUCGACCUGGAGCUCAGCCAUGGAGAAGCCAUAAAGAAGUCUACACGGAGACAAUGAUGGUGGGCGGCUGCGAGAAGCCUAGCGUGCUUGUGACGUCUCCGGGAUCUCCAGACGUACACUCGCGGCGUCGAUCCAAUCGUCACAGUCAUCACAACGCAAAUGUAGCUGGACGCAUACAGCUGAAAAUAUAUUUUGACAUAAGUGCCCUACAACUCUUGGUAACCGUGGUAUCGGCAAGUGGCUUGACUCCGCGUGCAGACGGCUCGCCUAGAUGUCCUUACGCAAAAAUAUUUUUGCUUCCCGACAAGAGUGAAAAAAGCAAACGAAGAACUAAAACGCUAGCCAAUACAUUAGAGCCGAGAUGGAACCAAACAUUCGUUUAUUGUGGCAUACGUAUUACUGACAUCAAAAAAAGAACACUGGAGGUGACAGUGUGGGAUUUGAAUCGUUAUGGACCGAAUGACUUUCUUGGUGAAGUUUUACUUGAUCUUGACAACAUAAUGAUGAAUCAUGAGCCGAACUGGUACACCUUAAAGCCGCAUGAAGAUUCCAGUAGCUUUUACAGAUACCGAGAGGAAGAGGCAGACGGUGAUCAUUUAUCUCCACCAUCGACAUCGACCUCACGAUUAUCAGAUUCGGACACGCCAAGUGAAUGUGACCUACGACGUCAUCAUUCUCUUUCGAGCCUCGCGUCUAGCUCUAGUCCGCCACCUCCUCAUGAUAGGAUGGAUAUGGAAGGUAUAAGAAGCAGCCGACGCGAUAUGUCCCCCGCAAGUCGAGUAAGAACUACUGGAAUGUCUAGAGAUCGGAGCUGCGGGUACAGCGUAGCGCGGUCGCAGUCUGCAGCGGGAGUGGCGCGGCCCCAACGCGCCCGCAGCAAGUCUCCGCGCCGCUCGCUAUCGCCGCCCGCCGACCGCGACGUCUGGCGCUACGCAGUUAAUGACGACAGAGGAGGCGACGGCUCGCGGUUGCCGACACACGCGUAUGCUCCUCGAUUCCAAUCACGGUCGGCGACCGCCACACCCACCACGAGUCCCAAGAAACGCCAGUUGCCUCAGAUACCGCACCAGAGUCAGAGUACCCAACGGGCUGUACGAGCGCAGGUGUCCGCGGACCUAGAAGAACGUAAGUGGAUCGCCCCGCACCACAUUGGCGCCACACUCACGUACCGCAGCACGCCACAAGGAUGGGAGCGACAUUAUGCGGGUUUAUCUGAUUCGGAGCUUGCUGCCCGCAGUGGCGGUAGUUGGGCUCCACGGAGAAGGCUAUCUCCUGAUGCAACAGCAGCAGAUUCCGACCUAGAAUCGGUCGCUUCUGUAACAUCAAGCGCCUUCAGCACACAAUCCGAACGACCUCGACCGACACGUAUGCUUAGCAACGAUUAUGGUGGAAGGGACAACGGAAGGAACAAUAAUCAGCCACAGCCGUUGGAGAGACGCGAGUCUCGACGAGGCCAGUUCACUAGGAGUUUGAGCAACGCAGAUGUUCCGCCUGAUGAAAAAACAGAUGGCAGUCUAAGUGACACUGCGUUGGGUGGUACCGGCGAGCUGGAGCCAAGCACUGAUGAUGUCCUCUUAAAAGCUGAGCCUCGGGAUUAUUUCGGGCCGGGCAUGGGCAAGAAAAGCAACUCUACCUCACAAUUGUCAGCCACAGGUGGUCCCCGGGCAUGCGAGGUUCUGGUUCUUCAGAGGGCGGAGGGCUGUCGGACUUCAUUGACGGCCUAGGUCCCGGACAGCUGGUCGGAAGACAAUUACUAGGAGCGACUACGCUUGGAGAUGUCCAACUUUCAAUGUGCUACCAAAAAGGAUUCUUAGAGGUGGAAGUCAUACGUGCUCGCGGCUUACAAGCCAGGCAAGGAAGCCGAACCCUUCCAGCGCCAUACGUCAAGGUGUAUCUCGUGAGCGGAAAGCGAUGUAUAGCCAAAGCAAAGACAAC
RNAcentral lists this unclassified non-coding RNA (3747 nucleotides) under Bombyx mandarina (wild silkworm). RNAcentral describes it as "regulating synaptic membrane exocytosis protein 2- like, transcript variant X7". Lineage: Eukaryota; Metazoa; Arthropoda; Insecta; Lepidoptera; Bombycidae. The record is from RNAcentral.